Long non-coding RNA from Ricinus communis (castor bean), 2098 nucleotides. RefSeq lists it as uncharacterized. The transcript is spliced from 2 exons. Lineage: Eukaryota; Viridiplantae; Streptophyta; Magnoliopsida; Malpighiales; Euphorbiaceae. The record is from RefSeq and is a predicted model, not a curated record.
UAUUAAGCACUGGUUAAUCAGCUUAGUGACUGAUUAACUAUUUGGUUCCAAUUCAAAACUUUAUUUAAAUCAAAAUAAAUCUUUAUUAUCUUAUUACCACUCCUAAAUACCAUUCUUUUAUUAUAUUUCUUUUUAUUUUCUUGUAGGUUAACAAAAACUUGAGAGAUGGUUUGGUUAAUAAUAUAAGUGGUGGUGUGGCGGCUUGAUUUUUUAUCAAUAAAAGUAAAAAGUCGUAUUCUCUGCCCCACGUACGUUUCAGAAUAAUCAUCCCUGCAUUGCCCCGCAGUGCUUGAAAAAAUUCUUCCGUUUCCACAAAACCCAUUUCUUGAAUUGAAGCUGUGAAAGCUGAUCUUGCAUGGAAUAGCUAUAGCUAGAGCUCUAGAGAAAGUACAAAAAGAGGGGAACGAUAUGUAGAAAUUGGAAGAUGAUAGUUGUGUUAAUAAAAUGAUUGCUACGGAGCCAAACAAGCGAAAUUAAUGUCCAACAUCUGUUUCUUCUGUUAUAAAAAUGGCGGUGCUCCAUUGUCCGCAUUUGCUGCCGUCAAAAGUAGUGCAAUCAAUCAUCAUAAAACACAAAAAAGAAAAGAAAAGAAGGAAACAGUAAGGGCAGUACAGCACACCAGGAAAUUUACAAAUGCACGGGUACUUUUAUUUUUCUUAUACAAGGGCUGCCAUUAUAUUGAAUAACCUUAACAUAGGCGAAUGAAUAAGCUUAGUGAUUUGUUGAAAUCACCCCUGGAAAGCUGCUAAAUCGACCUUCUGGCAGCAGCAUAAUAGAUAACAGGAUGAUAUCAUUCAAGGUUUUGCUUAUAUAAACAGAAGAGUGUGCAAAAAAAUGAGCUACAUUCAUUCAGAGAGUACAUAAACAGCAAUCUGCCUGGACACUCGGAAACAAAAGAAAAGUAUAGAGAAUCAUGUGGAUAAACAAUCAAGGGUUAAAAUCUUUACAGCCUCAAUUUAACAUGGUCAGAGAGAUUAGUAUUGAGAAACUUGAGUUUAUGUCUCAAAUUUGCUCAGUCUUGCUCAUAAGUUGCAUAAGAGCAUUUGCCUUUCUCUGCGCUCUAUUGGUUCCACUGUUGGCGAUCUCAACUAAAUGCUCAUAUACACCAAACUGAAGUGCUGCAAGUAUGAAAGACGAGUUAUUCGACCCCAGCUCAAGGAGUACUGAUGUUGCACAUUCCUUGUUCUUUGGGGUGCCAUCUUUGAUGAAUUCUACAAGUGUUUCGAUGAACGAUAGCUGCCCAAUCGCACUCCGCCCAUCUGGAUGUGAUGAAAGAAGUAGAAAGAUGGAGAGUGCCUCAUCAACCAUACCCAAGUUUAUGUCCUCGAGCAACUGGAGUAGAGGUGUAAUAAUGCCAGCAUCUAUAGCUCUAGCCUUAUUCAAAUGGUUGAGCGACAAGUUAAACAAUGCAGUAGCAGCAUCUUUUUUGCCUCUUACUGUGCCAUUCUCUAACAAGUUCACUAAUGGCGGGAUGCCAUCCGAUAGGCCAAUGGUUACCUUGUUCUCGUCAAGCAUUGAUAAGCUGAAUAAUGCUGCUGCAGAGUUCUCUCUGCCCUCGACACUUCCACUACGCAAAACUUCUAUGAUAGCCGGAACGGCUCCUUCUCUAGCUAUGAGUCUCUUAUUAGUCUCAUCAAUUGAUAAAUUCAACAAAGCUGUUACUGCAUGUUCUUGUAUUUUAGAGUCUGGAUAGGACAGAAUCUGAACUAAUGGUGGGAUACCUCCAUGGUUGGCAAUUGCAAUUCUGUUCUCAGGAUUCUCUUUAGAGAGCAUUCUGAUCUUCUUCACAGAUUUUCUCUGCACUUCCAACUGACUAGAUGAUAGGUCAUGAACCAAAGAGAGGAUUUCCUCACUGAGAUCAGAGAAGCUUUCAGAGGAUGCAGAACUAUUUUUUGUAGAGAGGUGAAAAUUGUUCUCUUCACACCACUGCAAGAUUAGGUUUUUAAGGGCAUAAUUUGGGGCAACCGACAGGUGAGCCAAAGUUUGUCUUGUCUUUGGACAGGUCCGGUGAUUGGAAAUAAACCACUUCUGUAUGCUUUCUCUUUCAUAUGUCUAAAAUACAUGAACAAGGGAAAAAAAAGUCAUAUAAUGUUACUUC